AACGCACCCAAAUUUGUCGUCGUCGAGAUAUGACGUCUUUCGCGGAGACGAUAAAUUAGCGCUUUCCCGCUUCGACAUGAGAGCUAAGUGGAGAAAGAAGCGCAUGCGCAGGCUGAAGCGCAAAAGGAGAAAGAUGAGGCAGAGGUCUAAGUAAACGGUCCUCUUCGCCAUGGCUGUGACAUCACAUGUUGAUAACAACCACACCAGUGAGCACAGCUGGAGACCCCAGGACCCUCCCAGUGUCAAGUCCGAGUCCAUAUCGACCUGAGGCAGUGGAGUUGCAGCAGCUGAUGCAUACUGGUGCCGCUCAUUCAAGACCUGCUGGGUUUCAGACUUUUCCUCUGGGACAUCCUGGACUCUUAAUUCCUCAACUUUUAUCAUUUGUUUUAUUAAUACUGUGAUUAAAGGUUUUGCUUUAAAAAAAAGAA
Long non-coding RNA from Monopterus albus (swamp eel), 428 nucleotides. RefSeq lists it as uncharacterized. The transcript is spliced from 4 exons. The record is from RefSeq and is a predicted model, not a curated record. Lineage: Eukaryota; Metazoa; Chordata; Actinopteri; Synbranchiformes; Synbranchidae.